CACACCCCCUCUAUAAGAAAAUCGCCCUGAAGGAAUAACAAGAAUUUUUCAAUUGGGGGAUUUUCUCUUGAGUGUUCUAGCCUCUUUUGCUUCCUGCCAGCCAGCGAUCGUUUGAGCUUUUGCCCUACGUUUUCCCCAUCAAAACGAAGAAACAAUUUUAGAUGACGGCCACGGGCUCUGUUCCAUCGAUUGCCGUCCCAGGCCAGCGGCUUGGUCCCAUAUCAUCGUUCAUUCCGGGCCCCGGAACCCACAUCCAACAUUCUUUUGUCUGCGCCUCGAUAGCCGGCCCGGUCGUUAUACAGAAGGGGGAGGAGGAGUUGUCGAGACAACAGUACCAGCAACAAGCAAUUAGUAAACAGCAAAGAACACUUGUAUCGGUCGCACGAUCCUUUGCGCAGACACAAACGGUUGCGGGGAAUUACACAGCUGUGACUGGGGAUAAUCCUAAGAGCAGCAGCACAAACUAUAUACAACAACAGCCGCAAAAGCCUCCAAACACAACACCCUCCACAACCACACCCUCAACGACGAAAAGACACAAAAGAUACAAAUAUAACACCCUCCCUGCCGUAGACUCCGUCGUCCUCGCUCGCGUCACCCGCGUCCAGAAGCGCCAAGCAACCCUCUCCAUCCUCGUCGUCCUCGAAGACAACCCCUCCUCCCCCUACCCCGCCACCACCACCGCCGCCGCCGCCGACGAGCUGCCCCACUCCCUUCUCUCCACCACGAACGCCGACCCCCUCAACGCCGACGACCUCCGCUUCCAAGCCCUAAUCCGCAAAGAAGAUGUGCGGGCCGUGGAGAAGGACCGCGUCGUGAUGGACGA
This 826-nucleotide small RNA is filed under the name Histoplasma capsulatum. Its description in RNAcentral is "hypothetical RNA". Lineage: Eukaryota; Fungi; Ascomycota; Eurotiomycetes; Onygenales; Ajellomycetaceae. RNAcentral also lists the same sequence under 1 other name. The record is from RNAcentral.